RNAcentral lists this transfer RNA (74 nucleotides) under Allomicrovenator marinus. RNAcentral's name for it is "Microvenator marinus tRNA". It matches the Rfam family "tRNA". Rfam says of the family: Transfer RNA (tRNA) molecules are approximately 80 nucleotides in length. Their secondary structure includes four short double-helical elements and three loops (D, anti-codon, and T loops). Lineage: Bacteria; Deltaproteobacteria; Bradymonadales; Allomicrovenatoraceae. The record is from Rfam by way of RNAcentral.
AGGGGUAUAGCUCAGCUAGGUAGAGCACCGGAUUCCAAAUCCGGCGGUCGGGGGUUCGAUCCCCUCUGCCCCUG